This 6800-nucleotide unclassified non-coding RNA is filed under the name Leishmania donovani. RNAcentral's name for it is "gene:LdHU3.06.0320(CDS-product:LmjF.06.0260". The record is from RNAcentral. Lineage: Eukaryota; Euglenozoa; Kinetoplastea; Trypanosomatida; Trypanosomatidae.
UGUGCACGCAUACAUACGUAUACAUCUUCUGUUGUCUUUCUCUCUGUUGGCAUCCCCGUCUCUCUCUCUCAGCUUCACGAUCGUCUCCCCGCCCCCAAGCCCUCUCUCUCUCUCUCGACGGCCACCUCGUCCAUUUCUUUGUGUGGGCGUCUUCGAAGAUCCAUCCUCCGACUCUUCACCUCUUUUUUCUCUGUGUGUGUGUGCGUGUCUCCGCUCUGGAGGAGGGUAUCGAUACGAGUCUUGCCAACACAUCUGAGCACAACGCCUCCUCCCACCCGAACACAAACACACACACACACACACACACACACACACACACACACGUUCUCGAGUACGUUUUAGGGCAGCCACACCAAGUGUUGCUCACGCGCAUCGUCAUCUGCCCCUGCGUGUGCGUGUGUGCAUGCGUGUAUGGGAAAGUACAUGCGCACGUGACCGUGAUCACUGUCUGUCUCUCUCUCUCUCGCUCUGUGCGUGCGUGCGUUGUUGUUGCGCACUGCUGUGGUUGUGACUGACGUUGUGCGACAACGCCCUGCUGACACACAUGGGGGGGGGCGGUGGCGACAGCGGUACUUUCUUCUUGCUCGUUGUUGUUGCUGCUGGCGUUGCCUUGGCGGAGGCUUACGUGCGUGAGUGUGCGUGACCCCUCUCUUCCCUCUUCGCAGGUAAGCGCCCAUUCAAGUCCGACUUCGGCAUUUGUGUGAUUUCGCUUCUCUCGCUUCUCGGUCUGCAGGGCUCCUCACCUCUUUUCCGCUUUAACUUGUUCCUCUCCUGUGCUCACCCCAGCCAGAAGGAGAGGAGGAGACAGAGAGAUACCCGCCAUCCCACCGCUCCACAGCAUCCACUGCAGCGGGUUGCCGUUGACGCAAGCAAGCACAGACGCACACGAGCACAGGGGCUAACACGCAUACACCAUCUCCGUGCAGCCUUGCGGGGGCUUCUCCUUUUUCGCUGUCCCUCGUUUUUGUUCUCCAUCAGCUACUGUCGCCGCACUCGCGGCUACGCACACCAGUGCGUGAUAUCUAAAUUAGGUGCUGUUGCUCUUUUCGCGCCGAAGCAGGUGCCAUCAUGGGUGUUCCCAAGUUCUUCCGCUGGGCGGCGGAGCGCUUCCCCUCCAUCAUCACCCCCUUCAAGGACUCGCCACCGCCGGUGGACAACCUCUACCUCGAUAUCAAUGGUAUCAUCCACAACUGCACGCACCCGAACGAUGUCGACGCGACGCGGCGCAGUCCGACAGAGAAGGAGAUGAUUCAGGCGAUGUUCGUCUAUCUGGAGAAACUCUUCAACGCUAUCCAGCCGCGCAAGUACUUCCUGCUUGCCGUCGAUGGUGUCGCGCCGCGCGCGAAAAUGAAUCAGCAGCGCCAGCGCCGCUACCGCGCCGGUUACGAGAUGAUGAUCGCGCGUGAGGAGGCGCUCGCGAUGGGCGAGGAGGUGCCGGAGGAAAAGGACGUGUUCGACAGCAACUGCAUCACCCCCGGCACCCCGUUCAUGGUGCGCGUGAGCAAGGAGUUUCAGUACUUCAUCACCAUGAAGCUGUCCACCGAUCCGGCGUGGCAGGGGUGCCAGAUCAUCUUCUCCGGCCACGAUUGCCCCGGCGAGGGUGAGCACAAGAUCGUCGAUUUUAUUCGCCGGCGCAAGAUGCAGCCGAACUACGACCCCAACGAGACCCACUGCAUGUACGGCCUCGACGCCGAUCUCGUCAUGCUGGCGCUCGCCACGCACGAGCCGCACUUUGUGCUGCUGCGCGAGGUGGUCACGUUCGGCCCCGGCUCUCGCAAGGAGCGGGAGCGGCAGGAGGAGGAUGAGGCGAAGGGCCUCGUGAAGGACAAGGCGUACCACAAGGCGGACGAGUUCGUGCUGCUGCACAUCAACGUCUUCCGCGACUACCUGCAGCUGGAGGUGAAGGGCUACCUGGCGAAGGCGAAGAGCAGCGUGAGUAUCGACUUUGAGCGAGUGAUCGACGACUUCGUCUUCAUGUGCUUCUUUAUCGGCAACGACUUUCUGCCGACGCUGCCGACCAUCGGCAUUAACGAUGGCAGCAUACCGGCGCUCCUGCACAUCUACGUGGACAACAUGCUCAGCAAGAGCAAGUACCUGACGCACAAAGGCGAGAUCGACUGGCGCAACGCCGAGGUGUGGUUGAACGAGGUCGGCAAGCUCGAGUUCGAGACGCUGCGCCGACGUCAGCAGGAGGAGGCAGAGUUCCAGAAGAACCGCGCUCGCCGCGACCCUACCCACGAGGUGGACACCGCCUCCGUAAUACCUAUCACGUCGAUCCUGGAGUUCAAACAGCGCUACUACGGCGAGAAGCACGGCUUUGCUGGCGGCUGGGACGCGAACAGCGAAGACAUGCAACGACUGCGGGAGCACUACGUGGAGGGGCUCAUGUGGGUCAUGCAUUACUACUAUCAAGGCGUGCCUUCAUGGAAGUGGUUCUUUCCGCACUACUACGCACCCAUGGCGAGCGACAUGGUGAACCUCCCCGCUAUCGCUGCCCGCGUCUCGUUCGAACUCGGCAAGCCCUUCCAGCCGCACCAGCAGCUGCUGGCCGUGCUGCCGCCCAUGUCAUACCUGUCCAUGCCGAAGGCCUACUGGCCCCUGCUGCGCAGCCCAAGUAGCCCGCUCGCCAAGUACUUGCCCGAACACAUCGUUAUUGACCGCGAGGGCGCGCGCGCGCCGUGGGAGGGCAUUGUGCUGAUCCCCUUCAUCGACGAGCGCACGCUGCUCGCCGCCUACGAGUCGGUGCAGAAGAACGUCAGCCCCGAGGACGCCGCGAACAACGUGAAUGGCCCCCCGCUGCGGUUCUGCUACGACGGCAAGAUGCCGCCGUACGACCUGGAGGAUGAGAUGUUCGGCUCUCUCCGGAAUGUCCUCGUGAGGCGCGAGACAUACGCGUUCCCUCACAUCGACAAGUUCAUUCCGCAGCUGUGCCCUGGCGUGCACGUUGGCACGCGGCAGCUGGAGGGCUUCAGCACCCUCCAGUCGAAGCGCGACCUAAUCCAGCCGGUCUUCGAGGCUGGGGUCGUGUCGAUCUUUGGCCGUCCCACCAAGAACGACAGUCUCAUCCUGCAGAUGCGCGACUUCUUCAAGGCCAAGUCAGUCGACCAGGUGGCGACUCUCGUCGGCAAGGAGGUGCUCGUCGGCUUCCCGCACUACAAGCGUGCCCGCAUCGCCUCCCUCAAGGAUGUGCACAAGUCCAUCACUGCUUCGUACAGCAAGGAGGGCACCUUCAGCGGCACCGAGGAGCACAAGAACAACCGCGAAGAGUCGACUGCCUUCGUGAAGGAGGCGGACACGCACGCGCGCUUCAUGAAGUCGCAGCUGGGCCUCGCCGUGGAGCAGGUCGAAGUUCUCGUGUACGUGCACCGCUUCAACGGAAUGCAGGUGACGCGCAAGGGGCACAUUGAGCGACACUUCGCCACCACCUGGACGUGCUACCCAAUCCAGCUGAUCUGCACCUUGGAUAACAUAGACAUGCAGGAGGACAGCCGUUACGUCGAGCGCGACCGCAGCGAAGGUGACAGCGCCUUUGGUGCCCGCUGCGUCUACAUCGGUCCUCAGCCCAAGUCGAAGAAGUCGCAGAUGGACGUGUACGGCAGCUGUGGAACGGUUGUGACGGCUGGCCAGCACGACACGACGACGCAGCAGGGCGAUCAGAUGACGGUUCGCCUCAAGGUGUUUCAGGAGCCGCUGCGGCUGCCGGCGGAGCUGCUGCAGUUUGCCGCACAGCGCAACUGGACGGCGCUGCCGCAGGUGGCGAUCAGUCUCGACAUUUUACCGCACACCUUGACUAGCAUCUGUAGCUCCAUCGUCACGUCGCCGCAGUUUGGCUCUCGCGAGCUGGGGCUGUGUCUAAAGUUCACUGGGCGGUGCAUCGCCAAGGUCGGGUACGCGAAGCUGGUCCAGCACAGUCUGAACCCGUGGUACGUUGGGAACAAGGACAUCUUUGCCCGCAUGGAAAAGGAUACGGAGGACAUUGGCUACCACUUGGAGAUGGGCGAGAAGGGCGACUUCACGGGCAAUUCGAGCAGCAACCGUGGUGGCAGCGGCACGUGGUACUUCUCCCGCGACGCGCAGGAGCUGAUCCGUGACUACGUGAAGCGGUUCCGCCCACUCAUCCAGUACAUCGAGGCGGGCGGCGUAAACUCGAACAGCGUUGAGCCGCAGCAGUUCCUGACGGGCAAGUGGCGCGACAGGGAUGUCGACGACGUGCUAACGGAGAUCGAGACAUUCUUAAUCGAGUCGGGGCUGCGCGAAACGCCGAUGAUCACGGCCACGGAGGAGGCGUUUCCGCAGCAGCUGCUCGAGCAGCUCGAGGCGUCGCUGCAGGAGCAGCAGAACCGCAGCUUCAAGGAGCUCUCGUUGCGGCAGGUAAGCCGCAAUCAGCUCUACUUUCCUGUCACGCGCAGCAGCUGCGGCCAUCUCGUGCCGCUACCACUGCCGCAGGAGCAGACUUUCUACCUGGGCUCGCGGGUCGCGAACUGCCGCGCUACGGGCAUUGUUCCCUUCGGCACGCAAGGCACGAUCGUGCGCUUGCUGGCCAGCGGCAGGGAAGCAGAGGUCGUCUACGAUACCCCCUUCACGGGAGGCACGCGACUCGAUGGCCGCCUCAAGGACACUCGCGCCGCCAUCACGAAGCUGUCGGCGCUGCUUGUACUCAAGUCGACGGAUGCGCCGCAGCCACAGCUGCAACCUCAGACGCAGCCGGACAUGAGGGCCGCUGCGGCCGCCACCACGAACGGGUCGGCCAAGCUGCGGGAGCUGGAAUUCCUCCUGCAGGCGAACGGCAUUCACGUGGACCCCUCGGGCAAGUCCACGGUGUCGCCGCCAUCGCUGCCUGCAGCGUUUCAGAGCCCCACAAGUGCCGCGGCUCGCGCUGCGCCGGCCGACUCUGGUGCGAGCCAUAGCAGCACCGCAGGCGCCGGUGCAAGCGUUGUGCCGCGGCCGCGCAGUGCCGCUGCGACGGAGCAGACGCCGGCACCAGCGACACUAGGCAAGCGCGCCACCCCUGCCUCCGCCACCGCCCACUUGUCCUCAACGUCUUCGGUGACGCCAAUCACCAGAGAGACCCACAGCAGUCCCGCGAGCCUCAAAAUCACGGCUGCCCCAGGGAGCAGCGGGAUCAGCCUUCAAGACUUGGCCAAACACUUGCCGGCCUCCACAUCCCAGCGCUCGCCCGCCACUGUCGCCUCGCCGGCUGGCCACGCUCCAGCGUCGGGUGCAGUUGCGGCAACAACGGCGGCGGCGCUCAGCGGCAUCACCAUCCCGGCCCCCAAGUCUGCGCAGCAGCACCAACACCCGAUGCAGCCCGCUUCGCCGCCGGCGACGACAGCUGUGGCCUCGCCAAGCCAAAGCAAUGAGUCGAACGAGACUUCCCCCGGCUCAAACACGCGCCGCAAGUCGCGCGACCUGCACGUCAUCCCAGACGACUUCGUCAGUGGACGGUUCAAGAUCAAGUACACGAACACGGGCUCGCUGUUCCGCAGCUGGCUGGACACCUUCACGGCGGAGGCGGUGCGCAAGACCCUCGCCGAGCUGGAGGCGGAGGGGAAUGCGAAUCCCCUGUGAAGGCUGCGUAAGGAUGCGCGCGCGCUAGUCAGCGCGUAUGCGUGGGUGCGUGCCACUGUUGUCGUCGACGCGCAUGAUCGCCUCUGUGUGCGCUUCUCUAUCAGUGUUGUUUUGUUUUGCUGUGUCGCGUCUGCCGUCUUCCGUGUCUCACCAGCGCCCUCCCCUUCCCCCAUUUUCUGUUGUCUUCGAUCGAUGAUGGUUGUUUUCCGUGCGUGUGCCACCACCACUAGCACCAGCACCAUCACACCCGUCCCUCAUCCUAUGCCUGCCUCCGUUCCCUAGCCGGUGGGCCUGCCCCCAUCGUCUUCUCUACACAGCGAGGAAGUGUACGCGUGUGCGGCUUACGUGCUCAUGUGGUUGCAUCAGCGUCGCUCGUGCCUCCUGAUGCUAUCGCUCCCUCCCACGAGAGCGAUGGUGCUCUGCGAUGACACGAUGAGAUCAGCGAAACGAACGGAGCGAGCGCAGCGAUAAUAGCGGUACGUGAGAGGAAAGGAAGAGGGUUGUACCUGUGCGGCCUCGCCCUCCCUCUCCGCUCUCCGCUCUCCGUAAUGGUGAGUCGCGUAGGACGUGUCUGUAGCCUCUCCCUCUCGUCACCACCUCCAACACUUCUCUGGUUGCUUUUCAAGCGCGCACGGGCGCGCUCUUUCUGUGUAUGUUGUUGUCUGUAGGAGGGCGCUCAUGUGUUGGCGUGCCGCGGGCGUCUUGUGCCCUCUUUCCCCCCUUCCAUCCUUGUCACUGUUCUAUCUUAACACACGCAGCAGAAAUGCCAUGACGAAGGAUGGGGAAGCAGCAGCAACACCAUACCCAUCACAGGCCACUCGCGUGUGUGAUCUGGUGAGGUCGGCGGCAGAGCUGCAUGCGCGUGCGUGUUGAUGUGGCCUCCUUCGCUUGCUCUUCGUCUUCCUUGCCCAUCCCCUCCACUAUAUUGCUCUCACAUGCCAGCUACACCCCCCAACGCCUACGGACAAGUAGUACCUCGUCAAGGUGUAUCCGGAGUGAGGGGGGAGGGGUGGGGUGGGAGUCCUUUGCUGCGAGCUGCAUCCACGUGCGUGUGCGUGCACCUUUUCGGGCAUGUCUGACCGCCAUUUCUCCAUCAGAGCGCUACCCGGAGAGGGGACUCGAGACUCACGCACCUUUAGCUGUUGCCGCCAAGUCGCCCCUCUCCUGUCCUUUCUCUCUCCGUCGUCUCCGCGAAGACGGCUCCUUUCCUAUCCAUGCAUGGACGUCCACAC